This 257-nucleotide unclassified non-coding RNA is filed under the name uncultured fungus. RNAcentral describes it as "partial contains small subunit ribosomal RNA, internal transcribed spacer 1, and 5.8S ribosomal RNA". The stretch from base 1 to 73 matches the Rfam family "Eukaryotic small subunit ribosomal RNA", at positions 1759 to 1831 of the family's 1831-position model. The record is from RNAcentral. Lineage: Eukaryota; Fungi.
GCAAACUUGGUCAUUUAGAGGAAGUAAAAGUCGUAACAAGGUCUCCGUAGGUGAACCUGCGGAGGGAUCAUUAUCGAACGGCCCCCUGGGCCUUCAAACCCUCAAACCGAAGUGGACCUUUUGAACCCCCCGUGCUUCGGCGUCGCCUCGUGGCGGCGUCGCUUUUAUGCAUAGAGUCUGAUGUCGUCUGAUUGCUUUGAAGAUUGAAAACUUUCAACAAAGGAUCUCUUGGCUCUCGCAUCGAUGAAGAACGCAGC